RNAcentral lists this ribosomal RNA (117 nucleotides) under Danio rerio (zebrafish). The record is from RNAcentral. Lineage: Eukaryota; Metazoa; Chordata; Actinopteri; Cypriniformes; Danionidae.
AGCCACAGCCAUAUCACCCUGCAGCACAAGACUGGUUACUCACUGAAGCUAAGCAGAGCUGAGGCUGGCCAGUACCUGGAUGGGAGACCACAUUAGAAAACCAGGUUGCUGUUGGAA